Molecule: long non-coding RNA, 20958 nt
Filed under: Olea europaea subsp. europaea
Lineage: Eukaryota; Viridiplantae; Streptophyta; Magnoliopsida; Lamiales; Oleaceae
Source: RNAcentral
UUUCUUUAUUCUUUUAACAAAAAAUGUAUAAGGAACACUACAAAAAAGGGGGCUCUAACAACCAAUCAAAUGUGGUUGCUAUAGGACACUAUCACCGUGGAGUGUCCAAAAUUUGUUGUAUCAAUAUUUUUUUUUUAAACCCAACUGCACGUAUUCAAAUCAACUUCAUCUUCAUCUUCAUCAUAUACAUUCUCCUCCACGGCUGCAGACUCCCUCGGCUGGUGGCUCUACAAUCUCAACUUUUCCAAAACUCAACCGUCGACGACAGAUUCCACAGUCACGCAUCCUCUAGUCGAUUUUCGUAAUCAUUGGUAAGUAAUUUAUUUUACCCAAAUACGCCAGCAACGAGAUGGCAUGCAGCUUCUGUUCAGUUAUUAAUUCGAGUUUUUGUUUUGUGAGAUUCAAAAAGGUAUUAAUUCGUUUUAUUAAUUUCAUUUUCUACGAGCUAUCAGUCAUAUUCUAUCAUGGCAUGCUGCUUCUGUUCUGUUAUGAAUUCGAUUUCUUGUUUUGGGUGAGAUUCAAAAAUCAAAAUGGGUACUAAUUCGUUAUUAAUUCCGUUUUCUACGAGUAUCAGACUAUCAGUCAUAUUCUAUGUCACCAAACUUGGAAGAUAUCUGAUUUAUUUGUGUAAAAUCAUGCUUUAAUCUAUUGGGUUUUUAUGUUAAUCUUUCUACGAAUACCAGACUAUCAGUCAUAUUCUAUGUGAAAUCAUGCCUCGAAACCGCUAGACGAGUUAUAUUUAAGUGAUCUUCUAGAACAUUUUUCACAUUGUUAUUUGAUUUCAUUUUCUUUGUUUUAUUUUUGAUUUUAAGUUAAUAAAUUUAGUUCCUUAAAUCUCUUAUAAAUGGAAAAAAAAAAUUAAUUCCUUGCAAUAAUUUAUGAGCCCAAAAUCUGAAGUUCGUCUCGGGCCCCGCAAAACACAGGUCUGGCCCUGGUAUCAGGGACCAUACUUUCAGUUGGUUCGUUAAAGAUUAGGAAAUGAAAAAAAUUCAGAUUUUUCCCGUGUAAGGGGCUGCUUCGGCGACCAUAGUUGUUGCUGAUCAGUAUAAUUCAGCAACCAGCUCAAAGAGGUUGUUGAAUGAAUUGGCGCAAUAAAUCCAGCCUACUAUUUCGUGUGGUUUUGAGUUUCUUUAGCCACUAACAAAUGUUGUCCUUGUAAAAAGAGAGCGUUAGCGACCACCUUAUGGUCAUUGUUUAGUAUGAUGCAGCAACCAGCUUCAGUUGAUAGCUGAAUGAAUUGGUGUAGAAAAUCCAACCUAAUUUUUUGUAUGGUUUUGAGUUUUUCGACAACCAUCACAUGUGAUCGCUAUAAGGUCCCUCUAUAUUCUAGCUUGAUUACCUAUGAUGUUUGUUGUCGAUUUUAUCUUGCAAUUGUACAGAUCGUAACAAGUAGUAAAGUGGACAUAAGAGUCCGAGUUAUCGAUCCCAUGAGAACUAUACUUUAGCACUUAAUUCAAUUUUCUUUAACCAUUAUUUGAUGAAAAUAAACAAAAAUGAUGAUCGAUCGUGAUUUUUGAUCUAACUACUUAAAAUGAGAACGGAUGCAACAAAAAAGUGAUUUGAAACUCAAACAAUAAAUGGAUGUUAGGGUGGAACAACUUCACCUAUUGGUCACCUUUACUUCUAAUAUCGAGAUUCAUAAAAUAUAAAGUAGUGUUCUGUCGAAUUCUUUUAUUGUAUUCAAUUUACCCCUCUUGAAUUCUCAUUGAGCAUAUUUAACUACUUCAAUUUCAUAUCUCUAUGUGAAUCAAACUUAGUUAAACGCACUAAUAGUUCGAAGAAUUCAUUUAUGAUUGUAGUAAUUAAUAUAGGUAUCUCUACAUGUUAUAUUAAUUUACCGGAUUUUCAUAUGUGGUCUAAACAAGAAUUCGGAUCUCUACGCAAUUAUUAUUCACGAAAUCAUUGAGUAAUUGGCCAGAAAAUUCAAAGUAUUGAAAACAUGAUUAAAAUUCACACAUAUAAUCAUAACGAACAAGAAUAUCAAAUAAAAAAAAAUUAAGGGCCCAAAUAGGUUACAUUGUUUGCCCAAGAAUUAAAUUUAGCUACUCAUAGUAAUGAAAGAAAAACAAGAAGUUAUUAUGGAAGACAUCACCAGAUUUUGAAUAAGCAUAUAGAAUAAGACCGAAAUCUUGCACCAAGAUAUUCUUCCUCUUCCAAUUUAUGCUUCAAAUCUUGGAUUGCUUGAUAUUUUUCUCCCUUGAAUAACUCAUUUGAAUCUCCAAUUGCAUGUGUUUUCCUCCUAAUGAUUAGAUUCAAUCCCUUGAUCUUUUCCCUCUUUGAAUUCUCUCCCUUUUCUUUAAUGUUCUUGAGGUGUUUUUAUGAAUAAUAGAGGCUCCCAAUGUGUGAAUCCCCCAAAAAGUGUGAGAAAUUUCGUAUUUAUAUGUGCCUUGCCAUGUGUAGAAUGUACUAUUUUCGUUUGGACUCAAAAAGGGGCCGAUAUUUCGCUUAGAUUACGGCUUGGGCGGCAACUAGAAUGCAGCGCCGUGUCAAAAAUAGGUGGUGGCGCCUCUCUGAAUCUCCUCGACCCCGCAGCGUCACCUUUCGGACAGACAACAUGUUGUUUAGUAUUUUUAUCAUAACUUUCUCUCCCGAUGUUCAAUUGGGGUGAUUCAAGUUGCAUUGGAAAACUAACUCAAAGGGCUACAAUUUUGCUUCAGAUAUCAUUUCAAAAUUAGAUGAAUGAAAGUGAUUUCAAAAAUAGCAAUCAAGAGUUUUUCAAAUAUAAUUGAGUUGAUAACAAUAAAUAAAAAGUGAAGAUCAAAUAUUUUAGCUAAAAGGAACCUCACUUAAUUGCUCUAGGGAGUAUAUAAAUGAAUGCAAAGUGAGGUGGUAUUUAUAGUUAAAAAAUCGUCAAAAGUCUGUCGAACCAGACAUCUACUAGAGUGUCGGACAGUUCAUUCGCUGUUGUAAUUCAAAACGGUUGAAAAAUCGAUCGUUGGACCUAUGGACGUCCGUUAAAUGUACCUGACAUCAGCUAUAGCAGAAAUCCACAAUUUUUCUUCUUUUAUGGUUUUGACAAAUGUAAUCUUUUUUGAAGGACAUUUUUACUUGAUUUUUCAAGGUAAGUGACAUUUUUUAAAAUAUAAGAUUGAAGUCAUUACCUUAAUAAAAUUUUUAUGUAAACAUUUUUGCAAAGUGAUUUUUCUCGUGCAUGAAAAUAAAUUUUGAGCAUUUCAUGAUUCAUUGUCAAAUAUUGAAGCAUAUUACCUUUACAUAUGAAAUUAAAUUGUCUUAGUAGAAUAUCUUCAAUGAAGCUCUUAGUCUUGACGUGCAUGCUUGAUAAUACUUUGACUUUUUUCUUGAUAGUAAUCUUCACAUCCUCAAUUUUGCUUCCGUGUUGUCAUCACUUGCAAAUCACUUGGUUUCAGACAUUGUGUCUUUAAUUAUAUUGCUUUGCAAUCUUCUCUAUCAACACUUGAAUUCAAUUUGUUAGAAACAAAUGCAAUUCGUUUGUGAUAAGUUAAACGAGAAGUCAACCAUAGGUCAAUAAUUUCACCAUUUUUGAUUAUGACAAACAAGAUGGUUUGCAAUAUAAAAGUUAAACAAAUCGAAAAGGAACACAUUGCAUAUAUUUUCCCUAUCGUUUUACUUAGAUUUCCCCUAUAAGUAUGCAUGUAGAAAUUAUAUGUCGCCCCUUUCAAUGUUCUCCCUAUCAGGCAUAAUCUAACUAUCUUUCCCCUUUGUUAUAAGCAAAAAGCAAGUGCAAAAACAAGUCAACCAUAGUAAUUAUAACGAGUUUGCAUUGAAGAUAAUAUCCAAAAUAUGGAGCAAUAUCAUAAAAUUAAACGUGUACAAUAGUCAUAAAAUUAGAAGAUAUGAAACAUAAGAACAAGAUAAUGCUAAGGCUUCGAAGAUGGUGGCAAAGGAAAGUGAGCAUAAAAAUGAGCAUAGAAGUCAUUCUGUCGAGCUUGCAUCACCACUUAUUGUGCAAGUAUUGCAUCUUGUUGUGCUUGGAUUUGGGCUUGUUGAACUUGAAUUUGAUGAAGUAACUGGCCAAGCCCAUCAACGGUAGAUGUAAGAGAGUCAAUCUGACCGUUUAGAAGAUUAUAGUUAUCCUCGAUAAAUGUGAAAUGACCACCCGAUGAGCGAGGAGCACUUGAGUUGGGUAUGUCUUGAGUAGGAUCCGGAACUUGUAGAACAUCUUCGUUCUCUUCUUCUAUAAAAGGUAGAGUCGAGGGUCCCAAGAUUGGGUCAAACACUUUUGUUUGAGCCACCCAUUGACCAUGUGAUUUAAUGAUUUUCAUGCAUUUUAGUGCUUGUGUAUUAAUAGUGUCAGUGGAACGGAGUUUAAAAAAAGCUUCAUCAUAUAGGGGAAAAUUAAAAUGUUUGAAAUUUUUGGUAAGAAGCAUGCCGCAAGAUAAGGCCUUGGCAUAAUGAGAAGAAUGUACAAGCUUCAUAGGACCUAAUGAAAUAGUCGGGAAAUCUAACUUUCGACCGUCAAGGAAUGUAUCGAGAAUAAAAAGAUAAAAAUAGUUUACCUCAUCUUGAUGUCCCUUCCUAGUGAGAAUAAUAUGUGCAAUGUUAUUUUGCAAGAGUCUACACAGUAAGGUUAAUUAAUUUGCACUAAUUUUGGUAACAUUUUCAAAAUCCUCUUUUGUCAAGUGAUGACAAGCAUCACUUGUGGAAUAUCCUUCCAACAAUGGAUGAGCUUUGUGAAGGAAAAUUUGGGUAUCACACACUUCAAGCUCGAGAAUGUGAUGAAUUAGAGCUUUGUUAACGGUGAUGCGCACAUGUUUGUUAAACAAGAAAUUUCAUCCGAUCAUGAAGUGAUAACCAUCUUUUUAUAAAAACCUUUCAUAAGCCGUGGGUAAGCAUGUUCUUCUAAUGUGCGAACUGAAACCCAACCCAUAUUUUUGAAAAAUUCUUCAAUAUGAAAUACUGGUGUUUCGAUAGCAAAAUCAGCAAAGUCGACAUUUUUACCUAUUAGAACGGAUGAUUUCUCAUAUGGGUUUACCGGCAUCUCGGGCUCCAAAUCCAUUUCUUCGUUGGAGGAUGGUAGAGGAGAGCGUUGUACAGUUUGUUUAAUUAGUUUUCCUACCCUUUUAGACCCCGUCAUGGUGAUAAUUUGAAGAAAUAUGGGUAGAUACAAUUUAGGGUUCAAAUUGGGAAAAUAGUGAAAUUUUGAGAGAAAAUUGAAUUUCUUGAAGAAUUGGAGAAAUAGAACUCAUGGAUGUGUGAGUUUUUUAGGGAAUUGAAAAUUUGUAAUGAAGAAAUGAUCAUAGAUGAAGUGUUUCAAAGAGAGGAAUUCAAGGGAAAGGAAGAAAAUGAGGAAAAAAGAGCGUUCUGUUCAUUUUAAAAUUAAGAACUUACGCUAUACUGGACGUUCGGCACAUUUUACAGGACGUCCAGAAGACACUACCCCAACUCACUUCCAAACCAAAAGUGGGGUCUGGACCAUCCGCUUUGGAGCGUUCAAUUUCCUUUAGUUCCACCGGACGGUCCAUUUGACUUGUUCAGUACGCUUUUUUUAUUUUUAAAUAAGAUUAAUAAUAAUUUAGGUAUGCACAUCAUUUUCAUCAAUAAUUCAUAGGCCUCUUCAAAUAUGUGAGAAUCGAUCAUGAGCAAGAGUUUUGGUGAAGAUAUCGGCCAAUUGAAUUUCCGUAUUAACAAAUUUUGGCGUGAUAUCCCCAUUUUUAGCAUAUCUUUAAGAAAAUGAUGUCUAAUUUUAAUGUGCUUAGUUCGAGAGUUCAACACGGGAUUCUUGGACUAGUCGAGCACUAGUGUUAUCACACAUAAUAGGAAUGUGAUCGUAAGCUAAAUGAUAAUCACAAAGAGUUUGUUUCAUCCAUAGCACAUGUGUACAACAACUUGUGGCCAAGAUAUAUUUGGCCUCGGCUGUAGAUAAUGCCACGAAAUUUUGUUUCUUGCUAAAUCAUGGUACUAAUGCAAAACCUAGAAAGUGACAUGCACCGCUAGUACUUUAUGAGGCUUUGACAAAUAUGUUUUUGAGAUAUUUUUGUUUAAAAAAUGGUUUAUACCAAAGUCCUCCCUUAUCAAAAACAUGUUUUUUAUUCCCAAGUAUUAAAUCGAAAUUUUUCUUACCUUGAGUAAAUUUGUGAAUGAUUUGAGUUAAGUAUUCAACAUUUUCUUUGAGUUUUCAUUAAUUAAGGAAUCAUAGUCAAUAUUUAUUUUUUUUUUAUUUUUUUGUUUUGUUUUCCAAAAUUUUAUUCUUUUCAUUUCAUCAUAAGAGGAAGAUAGAUCAUCAUAUGAGCAUUUUUCAAUAAGUUUGACCUCAUCGCCAGUUGUAAUGAAGCACAUGUUUGCAAUUUCUUCUUGAGUAUUAUAGUAUUAUUUGCCUCUUCAUCCUCAUCUCCGCUAUCAUUCCAAGUGGAUUGAAGUGUCUUUUUAUGGAAAUUCUUUUUCUUAUUUGGACACUCGGCUCUUUUAUGAUCGGGCUUGUCACAAUUAUAACAAAUGACUUUCUUACUCCUCUCUUCCGCAUUUUCCUCAUUCUUUUGAGAUUUUCGAUUAUUUUGAAGACCUCUCCAUUUUUUGACAAGGACUAAAUCGUCGAGCUCUUCAUCACUCAUAUUUCCACUUGCAGCUCCUUCUUUUAUUGUCGUUUCUAGAGCAAUUUGUCCUUUAGAAGGUUCCUUUGAUUCUUCUUUGCUUUUUCUUAUCUUCUCAUUGACCUCGACAUUGUUGAGUUUAUAGUCAUCAAGGUUCCGUAAAGUUCUUCUAAAUGAUAUGUAUUAAUAUUAUUAGUAUUCUCGAUCAACAUCCUUAAAGGACUCCAUUCCUCCGAUAGUGACCUAAGCAUUUUGCUCAUAAGUUAACUAUUAAGAAAUUUACGAUCAAAACCGUUAAGGCCAUUUACAAUGGUGAAACGAGUAAUUAUAUUAACAAUGAGUUCAUCUUGUUUCAUUAAGAAAUCUUCAAAUUCUUUAACUAACAAGUUGAUUUUUGUUUCUUUAACUUUGAUAGUACCAACAUGAGUGAUUCUAGUGUAUGCCAAAUAUCAUAUGCGGAUUCACAUAUGCUAAUCCGAUUGAAUUCAUUUCUAUCUAAUUCACAAUAAAGUAAAUUCUUAGCUUUAGCAUUCAAAGAUAACUUUCUCUUAUCUUCUUCAUCAUAUUCUUCCCUAGGUUUAAGGAUAAUUUGGUUGGGUUUCCUAUCAAUUUUAAUAGUUUUCAUAGGCACAUAAGGUCCGUAUUCACUAACUUCCCAUAUAUUAUAGUUAGUAGAUUGAAUAUAGAUCAUCAUCCUAACUUUCCAAUAAUUAUAGUGCGUGCCAUCAAAACAGGGAGGUUGGUUUGUAGAAUGCCCCUCAAGAUUUUGAAACAUAGGGUCAGCUAUUAUUCAAGACUGUAAAAUCUUUGAAAAUGAAUACCAAGCUCUGAUACCAAUUGAAUGCCCAAGAAUAGCUAAGCAAAAAAGGGGUGAAUUGGUUUUCAAUAAUUUUUCAAACAAAUAACAAAUAAACUAAUUGCACAAGUAAGAGAGCCUAGAUAUGAAAGUAAUAAGUAGAAGGGAAGAGAAUUCGCAAACGAUGUAAUUAUGGAUUUUCGAUCCAAUCAACGAUCUAUGUCCCCCAUUACCAAGCUCUCCAUCACGAGCAAUGCCGUUUUCACUAUGUUUUAUUGACUUAUGUCUCAAUCCAACCCUCACAAUGCUUCUGGUGACUUACAAAUAAGGAGCACCUAACUUUUUACAAUGUUGAGUUUUACAUGACCUCAACACGACCCUCAACUUCAAAGAAUAAAAAGCAUACAAAAUGAAACUUUUCUUACAAUAAAUGAUAUAUUUAAAGUUAAGUACAAUAAGAGAAGUAGGCUAACACUUUAAUAAAUAGCAAUGAGCAAAGCUCAAGUGUUAGAUUUGAAAAACUUUGAUGAAUGAAAGUUAUUUCAAAAGUAAGAUCAAUCAAGAGUUUUAUAAAGAUAAUUGAGUUGAUAAAAAUAAAUAAAUAGUGAAGAUCAAAUAUUUAAGCUCAAAGGAACCUCACUUAAUUGCUCUAGGGAAUAUAUAAAUGAAUGCAAAGUGAGGUAGUAUUUAUAGUUGAAAAAAUGUCAAAAGUCUAUCAAUAGUAGUGGUUGUAAAAAUUGACCGUUGGACCUACUGGACGUCCGCCAUGGAAGAAAUCCAUAAUUUUCCCUCUUUUAUGGUUUUGAUAUAUGUAAUCUUUUGAAGAACGUUUUUAUUUGGUUUUUCAAGGCAAGUAACAUUUUUUAAAAUAUAAGAUUAAAGUCAUUACCUCAAAAAAAUUCUUAUGUAAACAUUGUUGCAAAGUUAUUAUUCUCCUGCAUAAAAACAAUUUUUGAGCCUUUCAUAAGUCAUUGCCAAAUAUUGAAAUGUAUUACAUUUACAUAUGAAAUUAAAGUGUCUAGUGUGUAAGUCUAAUAUCUUCAAUGAAGCUCUUAGUCUUGACGCGCAUGCUUGAUUAUACUUUGACUUUUAUCUUGAUAGCAAUCUUCACAUCCUCAAUUUUGCUUCCAUGUCGUCAUCACUUGCAAAUCUCUUAGUUUCGAACAGUGUGUCUUUAAUUUUAUUGGUUUGCAAUAUUCUCUAUCAACUUUGGAAUUCAAUUUGUUAGAAAUAAACGUAAUUUUUUUGUGAUAAUUAAAACAAAAAGUCAACCAUAGGUCAACAGACAUCCAAAAGCCCGUAGAAGAGGUGAAUAGAUGUGGUAAGAUUGCACAGCUACGUCAACAAAUAGAGUUGUUGAUCCAGCAAAUCGCUUUACUCAUGCCACAUCAACAUGCGUUUGUGGCCCAACCGCUUAAGGAUUCUGAAGAUGAAAAUACAUUUGCCAAUCCAAUGGAAAGGAGAUGGCCAGGGGGAGAAUAGGCCCUAGGGAUCAGGCUUUAAGGUUGAUAUCAUUGAGUUCUAUAGUGGAUUAAAUCCAAAAAAAAAUUUAGAUUGGGUGACUACAGUAGAGGAAAUCUUGGAAUUCAAGGAGGUUCCUACUGGUAAGUGUGCCUCUCAUUGUGACAAGAUCUCGUGGACGAGCAGCAACAGAAAAAGGUAACGAGGACCAAAUUAAGGAAGGAAAGAUUGAGUCUUGAGAUAAAUUAAAGAAGAACAUGAAGAAGCAAUUUUUCCCUAUAAUUAUGUUCGGACCAUGUAUCGAUUGCAGAACUUGCGUCAAGGCAUGAAGACAGUUGAUGACUAUACGACGUAGUCUUACGUGUUGAUUACGAAGAACGAGUUAAUGGAAAUGAAUAAACGAUUGGUGUCGUGAUAUGUGGGUGGUCUUUGUCUCCAAAUACAAGAUACCCCGGAUAUGUUUGAUUCUGUGAUCGUUUCUAAGGUGCAUCUACGGGUGAUACAAAUAGAGAAGCUGCAGUCUAGGCGAAAUAUAUGUCAUUUCACUACAAGGGGUUAUUCCUAGAAAUAACAACAGCAACAACAAGAAACAACACAUGCUAGUAAUCCUAGUCAGGCUGAUUCAUUUAAAGCAAAUCUUGUUCAACAAUCAACACAUCCUAAAGGUGGUAUUUGUUGUUUCACUUGUAGAGGUAUGCGUCAUAAACAAUAUGAACGUCCUAAAAAUUCACGUAAAGGACUUUGUUGAUAAGGUUUAUGAAGAUCAUGAUGAGGGGCUUGUAUUUGACAAUGGACACGCUGAAGAAACAACGGAGGAGGAGAAAUUUGUUGUUGGUGAUUUGGGACAAGCGUUGGUGGUGAGAUGAAGUUUUUUGACUCCUCUGGAGAGUAAGGGUGACUGGCUGUUUAAUAAUUAUUCCAGUCUACAUGUACUAUUAGGAAAAGAAUUUGCAAGUUUGUUAUUAAUUUUGGGAGUUGCGAGAAUGUAGUAACUGAGGAGCUCGUUACGAAAUUGGAUUUGCAGACUCAGAAACAUCCUAUACCAUAUAAGUUGGCUUGGUUUAAGAGAGGUAACGAUGUUGAAGUAUUUUAGCCUGCUUUAAUCAGUUUUUCCAAAGGACCUACGUAAAAAGAUCAGGUUCUGUGUGAUGUAGUCGAGAUAGAUGGAUGUCAUUUGUUAUUAGGGAGACCUUGGCAGUUUGAUAGAUACUCGUUGCACGAUAAAUAUACCAACACGUAUCGUUUUUUGUUUGGGGAAAAGAAGAUUGUAUUGCUAGCCAACAAGAGCCCAACAAAGAUAGUUGGAGACAGUACCAAUUUACUAACCAGAGCGAAGUUUAAGAUAGAGAUGGCAAAAUUUGGUAUAGUAUAUGUGUUAGUAGUCAAAUUAAUUGAUACUGAGCAGAAGGUCCCUCAGAGAAUAGACCGUUGCUGGAAGAAUUUCAGGAGGUCUUUGUAGAAGAACUUCCAGAUGGGUUGCCACCACUACAAGAUAUUCAGCAUCAGAUUGAUUUAGUACCUAAUGCUACUCUUCCUAAUCGGGCAAAUUAUAUGAUGAGCCCUACUGAACAUGAAGAGUUACGCAAACAAGUGGAGGAGUUUUUGGCAAAGGGGUAUAUCAGGGAAAGUUUUAGUCCUCGUGCUCUUCCUACUCUUCUUACUCCAAAUAAAGAUGGUACAUGGCAUAUGUGCAUAGACAAUAGAGCGAUCAAUAAGAAUACUGUACAUUACCAUUUUCAUAUUCCUCGCUUGGAUGACUUACAGGAUUAGCUUACUGGUGCUUGAGCGUUCAGUAGACUGGAUUUGAAGAGUGGUGCCAUCAGAUUCGUAUCAGGCUUGGGGAGAAGUAGAUGACAACAUUUAAGAUGAGUGAAGGGGUUAUAUGAGUGGUUAGUCAUGCCAUUCCGCCUUUCCAAUGUGCUAAGUACUUUUAUGCGGGUUAUGAAUCAAGCUCUUAGUCCAUUCAUUGGUAAAUUUAUUUUAGUUUACUUUGAUGAUAUUCUGAUUUAUAGUGCUAACAGUGAUGAUCAUGUCCAGCAACUUUGGGAAGUUCUUUCAAUCCUUCACAGGGAUAAAUAUUAUGCUGCGGUGAAGAAAUGUAGCUUUCUAACUGACCGGGUUCUGGGUUAUGUGGUGACAAGAACGGAGUUAGCAGUUGAUUCAUCCAACGUAAAACGGAUAAGUCAGUGGCCAUAGCCUAAGACUAUUACAAAAGUGUAGAGUUGUCAUGUCUUGCUUCCUUUUAUAGCAAGUUUAUCCCACAUUUCAAUAGUAUCAUGACUCCAAUUAUAGAUUGUAUAAAGGGUGGCAAGUCUCAGUAGAAUACUGAGGCAGAGGCAUAUGUUCAGUCGAUUAAGCAGAAAUUGACAACUACUCUAGUUUUGGUGUUGCCUAAUUUUACUCAGCUAUUUGAAUUGCAUUGUGAUACUUCAAAGGUAGGAUUGGUGGUGUACUGAGCUAGAAAAUCGUCAUGCUACAUAUUUCAAUGAGAAAGAUUUUAGCCCUAAGUCUCAUUAUAAUACUUAUGAUAUAGAGUUCCAUGCAAUAGUCCAAGCGGUUCAACAUUGAUGUUAUUAUUUAUUCCAGAAGGAAUUCAUUUUGUAUACUAACCACAACACCUUUAGACACCUUGGUGCUUAAGAUAAGGUACCUGCUCGGCAUGCUUCUGACAAAAUUACGAGGGGAGGCUCUAGAUUUGACAUUAUUUGCAAUUUAUAUGCUACUGAUCCAUAUUUUUCACAGAUUAUUUGCAGAAGGGUGUGCAUUAGGAGUUUGUAUGUGUUGAUGAUUUUAUUUGUUGGGAAAAUCAAUUAUGUAUUCUUGAGGGCAAUUUGCGGCUUAAGAUAAUUCAAAAGCUGCAUAAUGAGGUCCAUGUGGGUCGUAAAACAUUGUUGACCUACUUAUUCCGACCUAAUCUUGGACAGGUGUUGGACUUCGUCUUGGAGCUACCCAGGACUCAGCGUGGAUUUGAUUCUAUUUUUAUGGUGGUUGAUCAUUUCUCCAAGAUGGUCCAUUUAUAAAAGAAGACUAUGGAUGUUGUUAGUAUAGCAUUACUGUAUUUUCGUGAGGUCUAUCGUCUACAUGAGCUUCCUAUUUCUAUCGUGCCUGAUUGAGAUACUCAUUUUCUUAGUCACUUUUAGCAUAGUUUAUGGCGUAUGGUCAAUACACAGUUGGACUUCAGCAGGGUACAUCAUCCUCAAAUAGAUGGUCAAACAGAGGUUGUCAAUCAUUCCUUAGGUGAUUUGCUACGUUGUUUGGCUGGUGAUCACAUUAAGUCUUGAGAUCAAAUGUGUGAGGUAGAAUUUGCUCACAAUCAUGCAGUUAAUAGUAGUACAGACUUUAGUCCUUUUCUGGUAGUAAAUGACCUUGUUCCUCAUAGUCUUCUUGACCUGGUUCUAGUUUCAACUAUUGUUAAAAUGCAUGGUAAAGCGGAGGAUUUCAUUAAGUAGUUGCACAGGUUUAUUCACAAACUUAUGAUCAUUUGCAAGCCGAUGUUACUAAGUAUAAACAUGAUGCAGAUCUUCAUCGUCGCCAUGUUGAGUUUGAGGUUGGUGACUUCGUUUGGGCGGUGUUAACAAAGGAUUGUAUUCCUACUCAUGAAUACAAAAAGCUUACUGCAAGAAAAAUUGGUCCAAUGGAGAUCAUUGAGAAGAUUAAUCCCAAUGCAUAUCGGUUAAAGCUGCCUAGUCACAUUGGUAUAUCCGAGGUUUUUAACGUAAGCACCUAGUCCCAUUUCGAGGAGAUAAUUCUGAUGAUGAUGUUACUUUCCCACCAAAUAUGAGGGCAAAUUCCUUAGUUCUGAUCUGGAUAUUUAUUCUUAAAACCAAGUGACCUUCGAGCUCUGAAUAUAUAAAUUGCUACCUCCCACGGCCUCUUGUCUUCACAUAAUUUUUACCAUUUCAGCUUUUUGCUCUCACUAUAUUAAUUCCAAAGAAUAAAUCUCUAGAUUUUGAUUAAAGAAAAACUCUCUUUUUUUUUUAAAUAAGAAAGAAACUUUCUAUUAGAUCCUUCAAGAAUCUAUGGGAAUAAAGAUUUAGAAACUCAUAUUGAUAUCAAAAUAUUGAAAUUUUAUUUCUUUCCAAAUUUAUGCAAGAUUUCUAUUUGGUACAGAAGGAUUUCCAGAAAAACUGAUUUUUCAAACUGAGGGUAGCUCGAGAGUAGCUAUUGAUUACAAUUCGAGAUUUCAAGGUAUCUCUAUCCUUUCCUCUUGCCUCUAUUUAUACAUACAAAUGAAGCUUUUAUUAUUGAUUUAAUUACAUCAUUGCAUACAUCAGCUCUAUCAAAAGACACUCUUGCCUUUCUAUUAUUUUUCUUCUCGGGCCUACAUCUUCACAUGCAGCUCUAUUAUUAUCCUCCUUUCACAUGCAAUUUUAUCAAAGGUGCUCUAUUAUUGUCAUCUUUUCUUUAUUUCUUCACAUGCAGCUGGGACAAUCUCUUAGCUUGCAAGAUUCUUUGAUAAUGAUAGGGCAUCUUAGAAAUUGAUGUAUGUUGAAUUUUGUAAUAUAGUCCUUUAAGAUUUUUGAUUUUCCAUGUCCUCCAUUUGAAACUAGCAUCCAAUUUUGAUAUUGACAUAAAUAUGAGAAUUAUUUAUCAUACAAAUUUUUAGCAAUAUUGUAUAUGACUUUGAUUCCAAGUGCUCUUCUAUGCUUGAUCCACGACUUGGUCACAUUUGGAACCUUUUUAUCAUUCUCUAUAACAUCUAUUUGGAAAUUGGCUGCAACAUAUCCAAUUAAGAUUAUGUGUUCAACUGGAUAAUAAAUAAUUCUAUCAUAUUGAGGACUUAUUGAAUAAAAUUUCAAAUAUAUUCUUCGUCCCUUGACAAAUCUUGAUACUUCUUUUAUGAAUGUGUCAUCGAAUUUCAAAAUUUCAAUCAAAUCUUUUCGUAAAUAUAUCAAAUCCAAAAAUUCAGAAUCUGCAAUAAUAUUUAUGAAUGAAGGGUCUUCUCCUUCCAUGGCUAUCAUUCUAGGAUAAACAUUAUUUCCUGGAUAGAUGAAAUAUAAAUCACUUAUUUUUAUUUUAUAAACGAUUUUGAUUAUUUUGGUAUAUUCUUCUUCUUUUGGAUUUAAAGGGAUCAUAUCAUCUUGGUCUUGGUUUAUGAUACUGAUAGUUUUGAAAUCUUUUUUAUCUCCAUGUAUCACCACUUUUUUUAAUUGGUGUUGAAUCUUCUUUUUUAUCAAUUGGUAUGGUGUCACGUUUGGAUCCACUGCUACUUCCAGCUAUCCUUUUUUGGUAUUAAUUUGGAAAACUCAUUUAUGAUCUCUUUGGUAUAUCUGUCUCAGACAGUAUAUCUUUUAGUUGUGCUGCAAUAGCAUCAACUUGAUUUUUGAGUUCUAUGGCCCCUUUAUGAUGCUUAAUAGUGAUAUUCAAUAAUAUUUUUAUAUUUGAGUUGAAUAUCUCUGAGAUCUGUAUUGCUCCAAUAUUUAUGUCUUCAGAUUCUUCUUUAAGAAAAUCUGUCAUUUUUUGUAUAUGUAGGAUAGAUUGGUAUAAAUCCAUGACCUUGGCUUUAUUCAUUAGCAAAUUCUAUGUUUCUGCUGAAAAAAUCUACAAGAAAAUUAUUAACUCCUUUAAUAUGAACUAUAUCAAAAUUAUAAAAUGCUAAAAAAGCUUGCCAUCUAUGGAGCCUUCUGUAUUGAGGUUUCGAUGGUAGUUUAUUCCUGACUAAUCCUGCAACUUGAGAAUUAUCAGUUUCAACAAUGAAUUUUUUAGAUAACAAAAAUAAUAAGAACUUUUUUAUUCCUCUAAUAAUUGCUAGUAAUUCUAUUUCAUGAGUAGUAUAAUUUAUUUCUGUUUGAUUAAAAGUUCCACUUGAAUAUCUAUAAAUCUCGUUUAGACUUGUUUUUAAUAUUGCUACCCAAUAUUUUAUUUUUAGGCAUCUGUAUUCACAAUUAAAUUAUCUUUUUCAUCUGGUAAUCUUAAUUUUGGUAAAUUUUUACAUUCUUCUUUUAAUGAUUUAACAAUUUCUGUGUGUUCUUCAUUCCAUCAUUUAAUAUUUAUUUUGAAGUAAAAUUUGUAUUUUAUACAUUUUCUUAGAAAGAUUCUCAAUAAAUCAUUCUGCAUAAUUUAAACAUCCCAAAAAAUUUUGUAUUUGCUCUUUGGAUUCUAAUUUAUUUAGAAAACUUUUUAUCUUUUUAGAUAUAUGAGUCUGUAAUUUUAUUCCUCUUUUAUCUAUUAAUAAUCCAAGAAGGUUUAUUUCUUAUUUUUCUAUUAUAGAUUUCUUUUUAGAAAGUACAAUUCCUUCUUUUUUACAUUCAUUUAUAAAUUGUAAUACAUGAUUUCUAUGUUCUUCUUUACUAUUGGAACAUAUUAGUAUGUUAUCUAUAUAAACAAUUAGAAAUUCAUUAAACUUUUUAGAUAUAUUAUCCAUUUUCCUUUGAUAUAUUUGUGGCGCAUUUUUUAAUCCAAAUGACAUUACUAACCAUUCAAAUUUUCCUUAAAGUGUGCUAAAUGUAUUAUAUUGUACACUAUCUUCUUCCAUUUUCAUUUGCCAAAAUCCUAAUUUACAGUCAAAUUUAGAAUAAUAUUGUUUUCCUUUUGCAAGGUUUAUUAAAACUUCUUUAUUUGGUAAAAAAUAUCCAUCAAAUUUAGUAUAUUUAUUUAAUUCUUUAUAAUUUAUGACCAUUCUAGCUUUUCCUCUUACCUGUUCUGAAUGUUUUAUAACCAUGAAGGCUGGACUACUAUGAGGUCCAUUACUAGGUCUAAUAAGUUUCUGUUCUAAUAAUUCUUUUAUUUGAUUUUUGAAUUCUUGUGUAUCUUUUCUAGUAUACAUCAUUGAUCUGCCUCUUAUUAUAACAUGUUCUGUUAAUUUUAUUUUGGUUUUAGGGUGAUGUGGUUUCCAAUAUGAUAAUGAAUUUUCUCCAUACACUUUUUCUAAUUGUUCAAUAAUUUUCUCUAUACUCAUUUUUAUUCCUGUUUUUAGAACUUUUUUAUACAAUAUUCUUUUAUUUUUUAUUUUAUUAAAUAUGAUUAGUUUUUUCUCUCAUUUAUCAUCAUGAUGUGCUGGCUGAGCUCUAUAAGGGUCCAUUUGAUUACAAGGAUGAAAUUGAAAACGAAUUCUAUGGAAUUAAAUUGCCUAGAAAUUAUUUUCUUGAAAAUUGUAAAUUAUUGUGUUUUAUUGGUAUAAUUUUCCACGUGAAAAAUGUUGAAAUAAAAGUUUUUUUGUCGUUCAUUUGACUUUGUUUUACAUAAAAAUUGUCAAUUAUAGAGAUAAAUUUUACUGGUAUUGGGGUGAAAUUUGUUUCGAUUGUCAAAAAAAAAAUCAAAAAAUUCAAGAAAAUCAUCUAUCUUUUAGUAUUCGUUUGACUUUCUUUUACAUGAAAAUUGUCAAUUAAAGGGAAAUAUUUUUUUUACAAUAAUUCUUAAGAUUUGUUUCCAUUGUCAAUAAAAAAAUUCAAAGAAAAAAAAAUCACGCUAGUGCCUGGAAUUCGAAUUCUCACCAAUGUGGUGAGAAUUUGAAUUCCAUGAAAACAUGGAAAAUUGCUAGUUCCCAAGAAAAACAAGAAAACUAAUUCCUUGGAAAAAAAAAAAAAGGCUAUCAAAUAGCCAAAAAGAUGGAAAAUGGAAUUGAUUUUCCAUUUUCCAUGGAAAACUUGAUACAAUCAAACAGGCCCUAAGGUUUAAAUUCUCUUGGAAUUUUUAAUAAGUGUGAGCAAGAUGUUUGUAACAUUAUCAUAUAAUUAUGUUGUUUAUAAGAUUGAAAUUGUUGUAUAAAGUCAUUUCCUAAUAAUGUAUCACAUUCUAAUUUAUCAUAUUUAUAUAUUUUAUUUAUUGUAACCUGUUUACUUCUAAAAAUUAUAUUAACUUUAUCAGCACUAUUAAUUAUUUGAGUGCUUUCUCCUGUGACUCUAGUUAUUUUUAUAUUACUAUUAUUAUUUCAUGAUUAUAUCAAAAAACUUUUAAAUAUUGUUAUAUCACUUCAUGUGUUUAUUAAAGCACAAAUUGUUAUGUUUGUUUCUACAAUAGUAACUUGUAUGUAUACAGCUAAUAGAAAACUUAUCUGAUUAUUCAUUUAGUUCUUUUUACAUAAUAUAGUAUGUCCAUUAUGAAUUAUAUAUAAUCUUUCUCUUUUUAUACUAUAAUAUUCUAAUUCAUUCAGAAAAUUCAUUUCUAAAAAUAUAUGAGGGUUUAUAUCCAUACUUUUAUCUAUAUAACAUGGUACUAAAAUGUUUAUUCCUCUUAUUUUUAUUGGUACUUUAACUUCUAAUUCUAAAAUAUGUAUUUGUCCAUUAAAAUUUACAUAUCUAUAUUGAUUAGUUUUAUGAGUUAUUAGACAUUUAUUUCUAAUUGAAGUUAUAUGACAUUCACUAACUCCUGUAUCUAUUAAUAUAAUUGGUCCAUUUAUAUAUUCUCUUCCAUUAUAAUAUUCUCCUUCUAUUUUCAUAUUUCCAGCAUUUCUGUAAAGUUUUAUUUCUCUCAUAUUACUAAAUUCUUCUGACUGAUUUUUAUUAGUUAUUCUAAGACUUUUUGAUUAAUUUUAAUUAACUUUUCAUCCUUAAAUGUUAUACUAUUAAAAUAUUCUCCUUCAUUUAAUUCUGUUAUUUCAGGUUUAUUUCUUAUUAUACUAAAUUCAUAUUCUUCCAGAACGAAGCUUAUUUGUUUAUUUGGUUCUAUUAUUUUGCUAAUAUCCUUACAUUCUUUAUGUACUUCAAUAUAUGGUUUAUUGGAAUAAAUAUUUCCAUAAUUAGAAUUGGUAAAUGUAUAUAAAACUCUAUAUUCUGUAGUCAUAAUUUGAUCACCCGGUUGCAUGAUAUCAUUUCUAUGUAGCUUAAAAUGCAAUUCUAAAACUUCAUUAAAGUUUCUAUCUUUCAAUGAUACACAAUAUUUUGGGUAGCAUGUAAACAUUAUUUUUUGAUAUGCUAAAUUUCCUUUUAUUAUUCCUAAAUGACUAUCUUUUAGAUUUAUUAUUCUUUCAUCAUGUAAGGUUAUAGUUAAGGUAAGUCUAUUCCUCCUCUAAAUAAUGAUUUAAAUAUUAUUUGUAUUCCUAGUAAAUAAACGUAUUGGAUUUUUUCACUUUGUUUUUUAUUAAUCUUUGUUAAUAAUUCUUCAACUAUAUUUUUUGUUAAAAGAUUUAAUUUAUGACUUCCAUAUGUUGUUUUUACAUCUAUAGUUUUCUCAAUUUUAUGAUAUUCAUUUAUCACUAUCCUUUCUCUUUUCCAAAUUAUGUCUAAAACUUCCCAAUUUCCUAUUUUUAAAUCUAAAGAUAAUUUUUGCAUUUUCUUAAAUUUAUUAUUAUCAAAUAUAUCUUUUAAUCCAUAACUUUCUAUUUUUUCAUAUUCUUGUAUAUUUAUAUUAUUAUUUUCUAUUUCCUCUAUUUCCUUAUUCAGAUUCAGAUUCAUCUGUUUCGCUUAUAUAUAUUUCCUAAUUAUAAUAUUGUUCAAUAUCCAAUAUUUCACUAAUUCAUCUUUUAUUUUCAAAUAUUCUUUUUGUCAUAUUUUAACUUUCUUUUUAUCACAAUCAGGGCUUAUAUGACAUAUUUCCUUACAAUUCCAAUAUUUACAUUGGCUUUUAUUUUUCUUAUAACUUUUAUUUUUCUAUUGACCAUAUGGGAUAUUUUUUCUUUUAUAAUAUCUUCUUCUAGGUUUUAUAUAUUUUUCAUUAAAAUUUCUAAAUUUUUUAAACUUUUUAUUUUUAUAUUUUCUUUUGUUAACCCUUCUCUCAAGAUUGCAUCCCCAUUGUAUAUGAUUUUUCAUAUAUUCACAACAUAUUCUAGUUGAUUUUUCUGAUUUUUUCAAUAAUUGUUUUUAUUGACAUAUAUGUACAAGUCUUUCAAAUAAAAAUUUUAUUCUUAAACCUAAAGUUCUAGGUAUUCCAAUAUUAUCUCUGACAUAUUUUUCAAAUUCUAUUUUAGAAUAUAUUCCUCAUGAACCUGGUAACUUAUUAUAAUACAUGUCUUGAUAUACUUCUUGAUUUUCAUUACUAUAAAAUUGAGUAUAAUAAUAAUUUCUGAACUCAUAAGUAUAUUCUUUAAUUUUGCACAUAUCACAUAUUGUUAAAUUUAUUAAUUUAAUCAUAGCAUUGUCUUUUUUUCUUAUUGCUCUUCUUUCAGCAUUUUUUAUCCAAUUUUCUCUUAAAAAUUCAUAUGAAAUAUAUUCUACUAACUUUUCUAUACAUUGUCUAUUUGAUUUUAUUAUUUCUAUUUGUACAUUUCUUUUUAUUAAUAUUUUUAUAUCAUUACUUAUUCAUUUCCACCAAUUUCUAACAUCUCCUUCAAAUGAUACUAUUAGAAAUCUAUUAUUCUUUCAGUACUUUUCUAUAUGUCAUCUUUAUUAUAUAAAAAGAAUAAUAUCAUUGAAUCUGCCCAAGUUAUUAAGGUUUUUUUAGUAUCUAUUUUACAAUUUAAAUCUAAUUUUGUUUUUCCAUGAUUAAUAGGUUUAUCUCAAUUAUCAUUUAAUUCAAACAUGUCUCUAUAUUUAUCUCCUUUAAGUAAUUGUCUAUCUCUUACUUUAUCAUAAAAUUGUCUAUAUGAUUUAUUAUAUAUAGGUACAUAACAUUCAUCUGAUUCUUGCAAUUCUUGUUUAGAGGUUUCUAUUGGAUUAGGUUCUCCUCCAGUAUUCAUUAAAACUUGGUAUUCACUUAUAUCACUUAAACUUAAUUGAUCUAUUUUUUUUAAGUAAAUCUAAUUCCUCAUUUACCUUUAUUUUCUUGAUUUUCUUCUAUUUUUAAUUUUCCUAACAUUUUUUCUCUAGAUUCCCCUUCUUAUAAUAUUUUAGGUAAUAUAUGCUUUCUAAAUUCUUCAUUCAUAUUUCCUGUUUCUAUUACUAUAUUUUGUUUUUCAAUAUAUUUCUUUCCUAUUCGAGUCAUUUCUUUUUCUAUAAAUUUUUUUAUCUAUUUUCUUUUCUAUAUUUUUAUAUAUUUUAUUUUAAUUCUCUAAUUUCAAUUUUUAAUAUAUUUAUAUCAUUUCUUGUUUCUUUUAGUUAAUUUCUUAAAUCUUGAAUAUCAUUUAUCAACAUUUUUAUUAAUGACUUUAGUUCUUCCUUAUAUUCACUUAUAGACAUCUUAAUCUUUCUUAAUCAUCUUUCUAACAUAUAAGUUAAAUAUCAUCUUUUAUCUUCUUUUUCUUCUAUUAUUUUUUCAAAACUUUCUUUAGCAAACUCUGUAUUUAGUAGUUCUUCUUUUAUUAUCUUAAAGCAUUUACUCUGUAUUUUUAAUUUUUCACACUUUAAUUUUAUUAACUGUUCUUCUUUUACUAUUAUUCCAUCUUGUAUUAAUAUUAUAUCUUGUAUUUUUUCUUGUAUCUUAUUAAUAGUUGCAAUUAAUCUAUUCAAUUUUAAAUCUUUAUUAUCAUUCACACUUAUACUUUUCUUUAUAAUAUAUAUUAAUUUCUUCAUCUUCAUAUACUUUAAUAAGAGGAUCAAUAAAAGAUAUAUAUAUCUUUUAUUGAUCCUAUUAUUAAUUUUUCUAAUAUUUGUUCUUUUAUUUCUUUGGGUAAUUUUUUGACUAUUGUUAGUGUCAUUAUUUUUAAUUUAUUAGGAAUAGGUUCUAAAAAUAUAUAACUUCCUUUUUCUUCUUCUAAAUACCAAUAAUAAUUUAUUUUACCUAUUUUAAUUUUCAUGAUUUCUAUGGCUCUGAUACUAAUUAGGAGAUGCUAUUUUGAGUGAACAAAAAUCAAAUAAAUAAAAUAAAUCUAUAAAUCUACUAAAAUCUUUAACUCUUCAAUUAGAGGCUAAAUUCUUUAAAAAUUUUAAGGACUUGAAUGGAAAGUUUCUAUAAAAUAAAGACUUAUGUAUAAUAUUUAUAUAAGGGUAUUUUAGGUACUUGAAUUAGUUAAAGGCUAAAAUGGAAAAGUAGCCCUUUUCUUUAGGCUAUUUUCAUGUAUUUCACCGCUCGUAUGCAUCUACUGAUAUGCUGUAAUCACUUGUUUAAGUUAACACUGCAAAAAUGGUUGAAGUGAGAUCUUGUAAUUUAAUUGCAUUAAUGUGGGUUUAUUUGUCUGUUCAGCAGUUAUCGACUAGAAUAAGGGGAAGAAAUUUCGAAAUUUGUCACGAUUGUAGAACACUCACUACUUUGGACAAUACCAAACAAAUCAUGGAUGCCCUUGGUGUAAAGACGGAUUUCAACUAUGUUUUGAGGUCGAACCGGAUACUAGAAACAAAUGGUGCUUGUUCUUCAUGUGUAGUAAUGAAGCGGGGAAUCGAGUUGCCUACUAUGAUAUCAAUUUAUAUUUGCUAAAUAUUUCAUUGUAAAGUACUAACUGUU